This is a long non-coding RNA of Mandrillus leucophaeus (drill), 478 nucleotides long. RefSeq lists it as uncharacterized. The record is from RefSeq and is a predicted model, not a curated record. The transcript is spliced from 2 exons. Lineage: Eukaryota; Metazoa; Chordata; Mammalia; Primates; Cercopithecidae.
CGAUUCCGGCCCCCUGCACAACCUCUCUCCUAUCCUUAGCUCUUCCCCGGCGGAUUUUAGGAGUCCCUUCUCCCCUGGGACCCUUCUCUUCCCUUUCCAAGUCCGCUCCUCCCAUUAUCCGGAAGCGAGGGGGGAUGACGCUCCCCCUUGACCUCUUCCUCCGGGAGCCGGGACCAAAAUAACCCGGCGGGAGGGGACACCUCGCAGGGAAUCUCGGAGGGCUGCCGGGACGAAGAGGCUACAUCUACACAGGGCGGUGUAGGGGAAGCCGGUCUCUUUGACCUCCGUGCCUGGGAGUAGGGGCCGAGAGCCAGAUUAUUGCGAUGGCCGGGAUCCCGGCGAGGACUGCCGCGCUCCGGUUCCUUGGUCAAAUUUGUAAAUUUCGCUAACACGAAAAGUUAAACAAGACACAGAGGAGAAACUGCACUUAGGGGUUUCUAACGAAUUACCUUUACUAGCAAGAAUAAAACUGCAAGAA